AGCGAACGCUGGCGGCAGGCCUAACACAUGCAAGUCGAACGAACCUUUCGGGGUUAGUGGCGGACGGGUGAGUAACACGUGGGAACGUGCCUUUAGGUUCGGAAUAACUCAGGGAAACUUGUGCUAAUACCGAAUGUGCCCUUCGGGGGAAAGAUUUAUCGCCUUUCGAGCGGCCCGCGUCUGAUUAGCUAGUUGGUUGAGGUAAUGGCUCACCAAGGCGACGAUCAGUAGCUGGUCUGAGAGGAUGAUCAGCCACAUUGGGACUGAGACACGGCCCAAACUCCUACGGGAGGCAGCAGUGGGGAAUCUUGCGCAAUGGGCGAAAGCCUGACGCAGCCAUGCCGCGUGAAUGAUGAAGGUCUUAGGAUUGUAAAAUUCUUUCACCGGGGACGAUAAUGACGGUACCAGGAGAAGAAGCCCCGGCGAACUUCGU
This 433-nucleotide ribosomal RNA is filed under the name uncultured bacterium. RNAcentral describes it as "partial 16S ribosomal RNA". It matches the Rfam family "Bacterial small subunit ribosomal RNA", at positions 29 to 506 of the family's 1533-position model. The record is from RNAcentral.